GAUGAAGAACGUAGCGAAAUGCGAUAAGUAAUGUGAAUUGCAGAAUUCAGUGAAUCAUCGAAUCUUUGAACGCACAUUGCGCCCUCUGGUAUUCCGGAGGGCAUGCCUGUUCGAGCGUCAUUAUAACCACUCAAGCUCUCGCUUGGUAUUGGGGUUCGCGGUUCCGCGGCCCCUAAAAUCAGUGGCGGUGCCUGUCGGCUCUACGCGUAGUAAUACUCCUCGCGAUUGAGUCCGGUAGGUCUACUUGCCAGCAACCCCCAAUUUUUACAGGUUGACCUCGGAUCAGGUAGGGAUACCCGCUGAACUUAAGCAUAUCAAAAGCGGAGGA
This 328-nucleotide unclassified non-coding RNA is filed under the name soil metagenome. RNAcentral describes it as "partial contains 5.8S ribosomal RNA, internal transcribed spacer 2, and large subunit ribosomal RNA". The stretch from base 1 to 120 matches the Rfam family "5.8S ribosomal RNA", at positions 35 to 154 of the family's 154-position model. The record is from RNAcentral.